RNAcentral lists this ribosomal RNA (253 nucleotides) under uncultured bacterium. Its description in RNAcentral is "partial 16S ribosomal RNA". It matches the Rfam family "Bacterial small subunit ribosomal RNA", at positions 524 to 776 of the family's 1533-position model. The record is from RNAcentral.
UACGGAGGGUGCAAGCGUUAUCCGGAUUCACUGGGUUUAAAGGGUGCGUAGGUGGUGGGGUAAGUCGGAUGUGAAAUCUCCGAGCUCAACUCGGAAAUGGCAUUGGAAACUACCCUGCUUGAGGGUCGGAGGGGGGACUGGAAUGCUUGGUGUAGCAGUGAAAUGCGUAGAUAUCAAGCGGAACACCAGUGGCGAAGGCGAGUCCCUGGACGACUCCUGACACUGAGGCACGAAAGCUAGGGGAGCAAACAGG